Molecule: ribosomal RNA, 463 nt
Filed under: uncultured Methanomicrobiales archaeon
Lineage: Archaea; Methanobacteriati; Methanobacteriota; Methanomicrobia; Methanomicrobiales
Description: bacterial SSU rRNA
Rfam family: Archaeal small subunit ribosomal RNA
Source: RNAcentral
GCACCACAACAGGUGGAGCCUGCGGUUAAUCGGACUCAACGCCGGGAAAACUCACCAGAUAAGACAGCUGAAUGAUAGUCGGGCUGAAGACUCUACUUGACUAGCUGAGAGGAGGUGCAUGGCCGUCGUCAGUUCGUACUGUGAAGCAUCCUGUUAAGUCAGGCAACGAGCGAGACCCACGCCAACAGUUGCCAGCUCGUCCUCCGGGAUGGUGGGGACACUGUUGGGACCGCCUCUGCUAAAGAGGAGGAAGGAAUGGGCAACGGUAGGUCAGCAUGCCCCGAAUUAUCUGGGCUACACGCGGGCUACAAUGGGUGGGACAAUGGGUAUCGACACCGAAAGGUGAAGGCAAUCUCCUAAACCCAUCCGUAGUUCGGAUUGUGGGCUGCAACUCGCCCACAUGAAGCUGGAAUCUGUAGUAAUCGUGUCUCAAAAUGGCACGGUGAAUAUGUCCCUGCUCCUU